GGUGCUUGCACCUGAUUGAUUUUGGUCGCCAACGAGUGGCGGACGGGUGAGUAACACGUAGGUAACCUGCCCAGAAGCGGGGGACAACAUUUGGAAACAGAUGCUAAUACCGCAUAACAACGUUGUUCGCAUGAACAACGCUUAAAAGAUGGCUUCUCGCUAUCACUUCUGGAUGGACCUGCGGUGCAUUAGCUUGUUGGUGGGGUAACGGCCUACCAAGGCGAUGAUGCAUAGCCGAGUUGAGAGACUGAUCGGCCACAAUGGGACUGAGACACGGCCCAUACUCCUACGGGAGGCAGCAGUAGGGAAUCUUCCACAAUGGGCGCAAGCCUGAUGGAGCAACACCGCGUGAGUGAAGAAGGGUUUCGGCUCGUAAAGCUCUGUUGUUAAAGAAGAACACGUAUGAGAGUAACUGUUCAUACGUUGACGGUAUUUAACCAGAAAGUCACGGCUAACUACGUGCCAGCAGCCGCGGUAAUACGUAGGUGGCAAGCGUUAUCC
RNAcentral lists this ribosomal RNA (501 nucleotides) under Limosilactobacillus fermentum. Its description in RNAcentral is "bacterial SSU rRNA". It matches the Rfam family "Bacterial small subunit ribosomal RNA", at positions 66 to 546 of the family's 1533-position model. The record is from RNAcentral. Lineage: Bacteria; Bacillati; Bacillota; Bacilli; Lactobacillales; Lactobacillaceae.